Molecule: non-coding RNA, 1220 nt
Organism: Xiphophorus hellerii (green swordtail)
Lineage: Eukaryota; Metazoa; Chordata; Actinopteri; Cyprinodontiformes; Poeciliidae
Source: the annotation of a RefSeq genome assembly
GUAUUGUGGUGCUAAGCCAUUCAGUGAUUUAUAAACUAACAACAGUAUUUUAAAGUCUAUUCUUUGAGCUACAGGGAGCCAGUGUAGGGACUUUAAAACUGUAUCUUCCUGUAUGUAUUAUUCUGCCCAGAAUAAUAUAUUUCUGGGCAGAAAUUGAUUGUUCAACUGAUCAACAGCAGACUGAUCUGCUGGAGUCAGUCAGAGCAUUUCCAUAGAGCAACUUUGCAUCAACAGCUCCAUGCUCCAGUGCUCUGGGAGAGUUUAUAGUCCUGACAGUUGAACAUUGGAUGACUGACAGCUGUCCUUCAUCACAACAGAAGACACAGAAAUCCUCCUCAUCACAAAUAUGACUUUGAUCUGCGUCCUCAUCUGGACUCUCCUCUGCUGCUGCUUCACAGAGGUCAGAGGUCAGGUCACAGUGACUCAGCAGCCUGUAGCAGUGAGAGCUGAUCUGGGAAGAUCUAUCAGCAUCAACUGUAGAACCAGUCAGAAUGUUCUUGUGGACAGCAAUGGCCACUAUUUAGCCUGGUACCAACAGAAAGAUGGACAAACUCCUAAGCUUCUCAUUUAUUUGUCUAGCACUAAAGCAUCAGGGACUCCAAGUCGUUUCUCAGGCAGUGGAUCAAACUCUGACUUCACUCUGACCAUCAGUGGAGUUCAGGCUGAAGAUGCUGCAGUUUACUACUGUCAGAGUCUUCAUAACAUUGGGAGUCAGUGGCCACGCACACAGUGAAAAACAGUCGUACAAAAACCUUCCUCGAUCAAACUGAACUGAAACUCAAGUUUCAGUGCAAUGACAGUGGCAGCUGGAAGCUGCAGUAAAGACAGACAUAAUUAAAUGAACACAAGUUGGAGCGUACUCAAAGACUAGCUUAUAGCAAUUGAUAAGCUGAGUGAGGCUUAAGAAGGGGAACAAUCAGGGAGUGACAGGUGCAAGGAAUAAAAGUAAUGAGGAAAAUGACAUUGAUUGGCUCUAAACAAACGACACAGAGCAUCAUGUGAACAUCACAGCAUGAAGCUCAAAGCAUAUUAGUAAGUCCAUUGAAGAGCAACUCUGAAUAAAUGGUGUGGUGUUCUAUUUUGUUUAGGUAGAAUACUUAGUAUUAUCUGUUGUUUCAAGAGUAAAAUAAUGUUAAUCUUUAUUUUAAAAUAAAUGUUUACAUAUUGAUGCCUAAUCUUGUUUAAUUAGUGGAAAAUAAAGUGAUUUAAUUACAUGUAAA